UGGGAAUUUUGGACAAUGGGCGAAAGCCUGAUCCAGCAAUGCCGCGUGUGUGAAGAAGGCCUUCGGGUUGUAAAGCACUUUUGUCCGGAAAGAAAUCCUUGGCUCUAAUACAGUCGGGGGAUGACGGUACCGGAAGAAUAAGCACCGGCUAACUACGUGCCAGCAGCCGCGGUAAUACGUAGGGUGCAAGCGUUAAUCGGAAUUACUGGGCGUAAAGCGUGCGCAGGCGGUUUGCUAAGACCGAUGUGAAAUCCCCGGGCUCAACCUGGGAACUGCAUUGGUGACUGGCAGGCUAGAGUAUGGCAGAGGGGGGUAGAAUUCCACGUGUAGCAGUGAAAUGCGUAGAGAUGUGGAGGAAUACCGAUGGCGAAGGCAGCCCCCUGGGCCAAUACUGACGCUCAUGCACGAAAGCGUGGGGAGCAAAACAGGAUUAGAUACCCCUGGUAGUCCACGCCCUAAACGAUGUCAACUAGUUGUUGGGGAUUC
RNAcentral lists this ribosomal RNA (486 nucleotides) under uncultured bacterium. RNAcentral's name for it is "partial 16S ribosomal RNA". It matches the Rfam family "Bacterial small subunit ribosomal RNA", at positions 356 to 832 of the family's 1533-position model. The record is from RNAcentral.